CCUCGUGUUGCAUCCCUCUUUUUUUUUUUUUUUUUUUGGUUAAAACUUUAUGACUCUAUAACUUCUAUACCGUGAGGCCAAACUUGGCAUGUGAUAUCUUUUCGCAAAGCCCAAAGAGAGCCCUCCGACGAAAGAAGCAAGACAAUGGAACAUUUCCAUUGACUUUUUUUCGACUCCAAAUUUUGACCUUUAACUACUUUUUCCGCGAUUUUCGUGAUUUGUGCUAUAUUACGGAACCCAAAAUUACUUUUUCAAGCAUUGUUUUCGAAUAUUUUUCAUGCAUCAAAGCUCGUUAAGACUAGAUGGGGUAUCCCUACAUGGCGGGUGGGACCCACGGCGAACGGUUCAUCAAGACUUAAAAAAAGAAUAUAUACGAUUGCAUUGCAUAUACUAACGGAUGCGAUCAUACCAGC
RNAcentral lists this ribosomal RNA (413 nucleotides) under Arabidopsis thaliana (thale cress). Lineage: Eukaryota; Viridiplantae; Streptophyta; Magnoliopsida; Brassicales; Brassicaceae. The record is from RNAcentral.